UGAACUUGAAGUUAAGUGAAACGCGAGAAAUGAACGCACGUUUCUGGUAUACUUUUUUUUCUCAGUCCAGACGUGGCUUUUUAAAUCCUAAUUCUGUGCUAAAUAAGCUUCGAAAUAUUCCGUCGAAAUUACCUUCUCACGGAAAUCAUUGUAACAUUAUGCAAGGUCCAGGUACAACAGGAGAAGCAAUGUAUUAUCCACGAUCAGAAUACAAAUCUACAAGACAUUAUCAAGGACAAGUGAAAGCAGUUAUCUUUGAUUGGGCAGGAACUGUUGUGGAUUGUGGUGUUUUAGCUCCUGCACUUACUUUCUGUGAGCUUUUCAAGAAUGAAGGUGUUUGUAUCACAGAGGAGGAGGCCAGAGGACCAAUGGGAGCUCACAAGCGUGUGCAUAUUAAAAAAAUUUUGGAGAAUGCUUCUGUCCAACAGCGAUGGAUUAAAGUCCAUGGGAAAGCUGCAACUGAGGAAGAUAUUGAUAGAAUGUACAAAAAGUUUUCCCCAACUGUCUUGUCCUGUCUUCACAAGUAUUCUAAUAUUAUUGAUGGAGUAGUAGACACUGUGAAGGAACUUAGAAGAGCUCAUGGAAUAAAGAUUGGAUCAACCACAGGCUUCCCAAAGGAGAUCCUACAGACAUUACUGAGGACUUCAGAAAGUCAGGGAUAUGUACCAGAAGCUAAUGUUGCUGCUGAUGAAGUACCAGAAGCAAGACCUUGUCCUUAUAUGGUCUGGACAUGUGCCAUGAGAUUGGGAGUACACCCAAUAGAGGCCAUCAUCAAAUUUCCUUCCUAGUGUUCAAGCUAAUCCAAAUUCAUUUUAAACCUUGAGUGAAAAGCAGAUGUAAGAACAUGUUCCUUAUUGACAAAGGCAGCUUCAAAGUUCUUCUCAAUUCCUGAAAUCAAAGCAUUAACAAGUAGCUUGCAAGUCUGGAGUGAUAUAUCACAAAGAUCUUUCAGUUUUGUCAACAUGCAGUUGAUGAUACUGUCGAUGGGAUUAGGGAAGGUCUCUCUGCUGGUUGCUGGACUAUUGGGGUAGCUAAAACUAGUAAUUAUGUGGGACUAACUGAACAAC
Molecule: unclassified non-coding RNA, 1067 nt
Filed under: Limulus polyphemus (Atlantic horseshoe crab)
Lineage: Eukaryota; Metazoa; Arthropoda; Merostomata; Xiphosura; Limulidae
Description: phosphonoacetaldehyde hydrolase-like, transcript variant X4
Source: RNAcentral